CUGGCUCAGGACGAACGCUGGCGGCGUGCCUAAUACAUGCAAGUCGAGCGGAGUUUAUCGGGAGCUUGCUCCUGAUGAACUUAGCGGCGGACGGGUGAGUAACACGUAGGCAACCUGCCCGUAAGACUGGGAUAACUACCGGAAACGGUAGCUAAUACCGGAUACG
This 166-nucleotide ribosomal RNA is filed under the name Paenibacillus barengoltzii. Its description in RNAcentral is "16S rRNA. Bacterial SSU". It matches the Rfam family "Bacterial small subunit ribosomal RNA", at positions 19 to 177 of the family's 1533-position model. The record is from RNAcentral. Lineage: Bacteria; Bacillati; Bacillota; Bacilli; Caryophanales; Paenibacillaceae.